RNAcentral lists this transfer RNA (72 nucleotides) under Vitis vinifera (wine grape). RNAcentral's name for it is "transfer RNA-His". It matches the Rfam family "tRNA". From Rfam's summary of the family: Transfer RNA (tRNA) molecules are approximately 80 nucleotides in length. Their secondary structure includes four short double-helical elements and three loops (D, anti-codon, and T loops). Further hydrogen bonds mediate the characteristic L-shaped molecular structure. tRNAs have two regions of fundamental functional importance: the anti-codon, which is responsible for specific mRNA codon recognition, and the 3' end, to which the tRNAs corresponding amino acid is attached (by aminoacyl-tRNA synthetases). tRNAs cope with the degeneracy of the genetic code in two manners: having more than one tRNA (with a specific anti-codon) for a particular amino acid; and 'wobble' base-pairing, i.e. permitting non-standard base-pairing at the 3rd anti-codon position. The record is from RNAcentral. Lineage: Eukaryota; Viridiplantae; Streptophyta; Magnoliopsida; Vitales; Vitaceae.
GUUGUUUUAGUUUAGUGGUAAGAAUUCCACGUUGUGGCCAUGGAGACUUGGGCUCGAAUCUUAGAAACCACA